This 95-nucleotide transfer RNA is filed under the name Nitrospirota bacterium. RNAcentral describes it as "tRNA-Ser". It matches the Rfam family "tRNA". Rfam says of the family: Transfer RNA (tRNA) molecules are approximately 80 nucleotides in length. Their secondary structure includes four short double-helical elements and three loops (D, anti-codon, and T loops). Lineage: Bacteria; Pseudomonadati; Nitrospirota. The record is from RNAcentral.
GGAGAGGUGGCCGAGCAGGUCGAAGGCGGCGGUUUGCUAAACCGUUGUAGGGGCCAAAACCUCUACCCAGGGUUCAAAUCCCUGCCUCUCCGCCA